GUGUUAUUCAAGAAAACAUGAAUGCUGUCCGUCCGCUUGUCCCCACACCUGCAUGCUACAUAUGUAUGGCUUUGAGGAAUGUAAAAGCUAGCACAUAUUGCAGGUAAUCAAGUGUAAAGAGUCCAUCUAAAAAUGAAUCUCUAUCAUUUGGUAUGAUAAAUCCCCAUCAUUUACUCAUUCAUUCCACCAGAAAUCAACCAUACGGUUUAUGCGUCCCUAUGAUACAUGCAUUCAUGAU
RNAcentral lists this unclassified non-coding RNA (238 nucleotides) under Hevea brasiliensis (rubber tree). The record is from RNAcentral. Lineage: Eukaryota; Viridiplantae; Streptophyta; Magnoliopsida; Malpighiales; Euphorbiaceae.